UGUGGUUUCUGUCUACUCUACAAGAGAUGUUUGACGGUUCAUCUUAUUUCUCAUGGAUUACAAGCCAAUCUACCUCUUCAACAUGAUACGGUUGCUUUUGUGAUGAUCAUAUAAAGACAUGAGAGCAAGAUGGGACCAAUUGUGUUGGCCCAAAGAAUGGUCAACCUUCAGAGAGUCGAUUUGGACUUGGAGCUCAGGAGUUCUUUCCAGUAGAAAUUGAUCUCUCUUCGUUGCUGGAUCAAACUUUCAAUCUCAGAUUAGUAUUGUUUUCUGAGUUCAAUUAGAAAAGAUUACCAUUUUCUGGGAGAAAGUUGUUUUUUUUUUUUUUCCUUUUCUUUUAUAUAUCUGCAUGCAUAAUAUAUAUUUGACAGAGCCACAAAUGUUGACAUGGAAUGAUCGAUCAGAUGAGGCUGAUACUGAUGUCUGCAGUCGAAUUCUUGCAAGCAUUGUUGUAGCAGCUAAAAUGAAGUACAUGGAGGGACGACAUAAUUGUGGAAUUGAAGUCCCCAUCUCACGAGAGCAGAGCUAAGUGGUUACGAGACAACGACAACGCCACAUGGUGGUCCGUUGCGUGAAAUUUCCUCCUCCUUGCAGGCAACCACUCGAAAACAGAAAAGGUAGCGUCCUCCUUGCUUCGACGUCAUCGAUGUGGAUGGCUCAAUCAUGUCACUCACUCCCAUUGUAAGUGGUCUUCUCUCCUUUCCUCAAGCAAAUGCAUUUCCUAGUAAAACUCGAUCUAUCUUUUGGGUCUUGUACCCCCAAAACGGCGUCGUCCGUGCUUUUAGCUACCUGAAUUAUUGGACGGA
Non-coding RNA from Musa acuminata subsp. malaccensis (wild Malaysian banana), 806 nucleotides. The record is from RefSeq and is a predicted model, not a curated record. Lineage: Eukaryota; Viridiplantae; Streptophyta; Magnoliopsida; Zingiberales; Musaceae.